RNAcentral lists this ribosomal RNA (362 nucleotides) under uncultured eukaryote. Its description in RNAcentral is "SSU rRNA". It matches the Rfam family "Eukaryotic small subunit ribosomal RNA", at positions 592 to 951 of the family's 1831-position model. The record is from RNAcentral.
CAAUAGCGUAUAUUAAAGUUGUUGCGGUUAAAAAGCUCGUAGUUGGAUUUCUGCCGAGGACGACCGGUCCGCCCUCUGGGUGAGUAUCUGGCUCGACCUGGGCAUCCUUCCAGAGAAUGUGUCUGCUCUUGACUGAGUGGUGCAGUAUCUGGAACUUUUACUUUGAGGAAAUUAGAGUGUUUCAAGCAGGCAUACGCCUUGAAUACAUUAGCAUGGAAUAAUAAGAUAGGACCUCGGUUCUAUUUUGUUGGUUUCUAGAGCUGAGGUAAUGAUUAAUAGGGAUAGUUGGGGGCGAUUCGUAUUUAAACUUGUCAGAGGUAGAAUUCUUGGUAUUUAGUUAAAGAACGGACUACUGACGAAAG